CAUUCUCAAGUGCCCAGUUUCCAGAAUGUAUCCAACAGAUGAUUCUGCUCCUUUGCCUGCUGGCACACUGGAUCAACCAUUGUUUGAAGUAAUACAGGAAGCCAUGCAAAGACACAUUCAGGGCAUGCAGUUCUGAGAAAGGAAUGCUGGACCACUGAUAGAUCGAAACAUGAAGGAUGAAGGUAUGGAACUUUAACUCCAUAGUGAAUAUUCACUGAUGCAGAGGAAUUA
This 231-nucleotide long non-coding RNA is filed under the name Ictidomys tridecemlineatus (thirteen-lined ground squirrel). Its description in RNAcentral is "lncRNA (ENSSTOG00000029593.1)". The record is from RNAcentral. Lineage: Eukaryota; Metazoa; Chordata; Mammalia; Rodentia; Sciuridae.